RNAcentral lists this ribosomal RNA (723 nucleotides) under uncultured Actinomycetaceae bacterium. RNAcentral's name for it is "bacterial SSU rRNA". It matches the Rfam family "Bacterial small subunit ribosomal RNA", at positions 28 to 776 of the family's 1533-position model. The record is from RNAcentral. Lineage: Bacteria; Bacillati; Actinomycetota; Actinomycetes; Actinomycetales; Actinomycetaceae.
GAUGAACGCUGACAGAAUGCUUAACACAUGCAAGUCUACUUGAACUUCGGUUUGGGUGGCGGACGGGUGAGUAACGCGUAAAGAACUUGCCUCACAGUUAGGGACAACAUUUGGAAACGAAUGCUAAUACCUGAUAUUAUGAUUUUAGGGCAUCCUAAGAUUAUGAAAGCUAUAUGCGCUGUGAGAGAGCUUUGCGUCCCAUUAGCUAGUUGGAGAGGUAACGGCUCACCAAGACGAUGAUGGGUAGCCGGCCUGAGAGGGUGAACGGCCACAAGGGGACUGAGACACGGCCCUUACUCCUACGGGAGGCAGCAGUGGGGAAUAUUGGACAAUGGACCAAAAGUCUGAUCCAGCAAUUCUGUGUGCACGAUGACGUUUUUCGGAAUGUAAAGUGCUUUCAGUUGGGAAGAAAAAAAUGACGGUACCAACAGAAGAAGUGACGGCUAACUCCGUGCCAGCAGCCGCGGUAAUACGGAGGGUGCGAGCGUUAAUCGGAAUAACUGGGCGUAAAGGGCACGCAGGCGGUGACUUAAGUGAGGUGUGAAAGCCCCGGGCUUAACCUGGGAAUUGCAUUUCAUACUGGGUCGCUAGAGUACUUUAGGGAGGGGUAGAAUUCCACGUGUAGCGGUGAAAUGCGUAGAGAUGUGGAGGAAUACCGAAGGCGAAGGCAGCCCCUUGGGAAUGUACUGACGCUCAUGUGCGAAAGCGUGGGGAGCAAACAGG